RNAcentral lists this ribosomal RNA (303 nucleotides) under uncultured Glomeromycotina. RNAcentral describes it as "SSU rRNA". It matches the Rfam family "Eukaryotic small subunit ribosomal RNA", at positions 780 to 1078 of the family's 1831-position model. Lineage: Eukaryota; Fungi; Glomeromycota. The record is from RNAcentral.
GCAGGCAUUAGCUUGAAUACAUUAGCAUGGAAUAAUGAAAGUAGGACGUUUCGACCCUAUUUUGUUGGUUUUUAGGAUCGACGUAAUGAUUAAGUAGGGAUAGUUGGGGGCAUUAGUAUUCAAUUGUCAGAGGUGGAAUUCUUGGAUUUAUUGAAGACUAACUACUGCGAAAGCAUUUGCCAAGGAUGUUUUCAUUUAAUCAAGAACAAAGUUAGGGGAUCGAAGACGAUCAGAUACCGUCGUAGUCUUAACCAUAAACUAUGCCGACUAGGGAUCGGACGAUGUUAAUCUUUUAAUGACUCG